CUCUGAUGUGUCUUUUCUCCUGUCUUGUCCUCCUGUCCCUCUGAUGUGUCUUUUCUCCUGUCUUCUCCUCCUGUCCCUCUGAUGUGUCUUUUCUCCUGUCUUCUCCUCCUGUCCCUCUGAUGUGUCUUUUCUCCUGUCUUGUCCUCCUGUCCCUCUGAUGUGUCUUUUCUCCUGUCUUCUCCUCCUGUCUUCCUCUCAUGUGUCUUUUCUCCUGUCAUUCUUUUGUGUUCAGAAGAGCUUUGUGCGUGUGAGGAUGUGUGGUCUCUCUGUGUGUGUGUGUGUGUGUGUGUGUGUGUGUGUGUGUGUGUGUGUGUGUAGUGUCACAGGUCUAAACAACCCUUGAACCGACUGAUCAUUCUCUCUGAGACCUGCUUUGAAAACCACCUCCAGAACCAGCAUGUGGAUUCAUUUACACCAGGACUUUGGUGCGGGGGUUGCAGUGGUACAUCAGUGGUAAGGAGACUAGAGUCGGAGCUGUACUCUCGCUUUUUCCUGGUGUUGAAUGACAAGAACGCCAAGAUACAGUCUAUAGGAGAACAUCACACACCUGCAGGAGACCAGGUACAUAGUACACACACAUCCCCCAUCUAUGACCUAACCUAAUGUUACCCCACGGGGGUUUGUCUGAACAUAAGGAACCGCUCAUAUAAUGUCCACACCUCUCUGAAUACAUGUCUCCUGUCAUAUAUUCAUAAUCUAUAGUAUGUGGUAACACGUUGUGAUAUCAUGAUGUUGUUCAUCUGGUUGCACAUGCUAGUAUGGAAGGUGUGAUUUAUCCAAAACCAUACUGUUCAAUAUAAACUGAUUACAAGACCCCCCUACCCUGUGCAGUCACAGCCUGCCUCAACAGCACCUACCCAGGGUAGGGUAAACACAAACACAGAGUCAACAGCACCUACCCAGGGUAGGGAAAACACACACACAGAGUCAACAGCACUUACCCAGGGCAGAGUAUACACACACACACAGAGAGAGUCAUAAAAGCACCCACAUUUAUUAUCACCAUAGUAGUUGUAAACAG
RNAcentral lists this long non-coding RNA (1021 nucleotides) under Salmo salar (Atlantic salmon). RNAcentral describes it as "lncRNA (ENSSSAG00000114136.1)". The record is from RNAcentral. Lineage: Eukaryota; Metazoa; Chordata; Actinopteri; Salmoniformes; Salmonidae.